RNAcentral lists this ribosomal RNA (245 nucleotides) under uncultured bacterium. RNAcentral describes it as "partial 16S ribosomal RNA". It matches the Rfam family "Bacterial small subunit ribosomal RNA", at positions 524 to 768 of the family's 1533-position model. The record is from RNAcentral.
UACGUAGGGGGCAAGCGUUAUCCGGAUUUACUGGGUGUAAAGGGUGCGUAGAUGGGAAAUUAAGUUGGAUGUGAAAUACCUAGGCUCAACUUAGGUGCUGCAACCAAAACUGAUAUUCUUGAGUGCAGGAGAGGAAAGUGGAAUUCCUAGUGUAGAGGUUAAAUUCGUAGAUAUUAGGAGGAACACCAGUGGCGAAGGCGACUUUCUGGACUGUAACUGACAUUGAGGCACGAAAGCGUGGGGAG